CCUUGUACCCACCGCCCGUCACACCAUGAGAGUUUGUAACACCCGAAGCCGGUGGCGUAACCCUUUUAGGGAGCGAGCCGUCUAAGGUGGGACAAAUGAUUAGGGUGAAGUCGUAACAAGGUAGCCGUAGGAGAACCUGCGGCUGGAUCACCUCCUUUCUAAGGAAACAGACUGAAAGUCUGACGGAAACCUGCACACACGAAACUUUGUUUAGUUUUGAGGGGAUUACCCUCAAGCACCCUAGCGGGUGCGACUUUGUUCUUUGAAAACUGGAUAUCAUUGUUGUAAAUGUUUUAAAUUGCCGAGAACACAGCGUAUUUGUAUGAGUUUCUAAUAAUAGAAAUUCGCAUCGCAUAACCGCUGACGUAAGUCAGUACAGGUUAAGUUACAAAGGGCGCACGGUGGAUGCCUUGGCA
Molecule: unclassified non-coding RNA, 416 nt
Filed under: Lacticaseibacillus rhamnosus
Lineage: Bacteria; Bacillati; Bacillota; Bacilli; Lactobacillales; Lactobacillaceae
Description: Lactobacillus rhamnosus partial contains 16S ribosomal RNA, 16S-23S ribosomal RNA intergenic spacer, and 23S ribosomal RNA
Rfam family: Bacterial small subunit ribosomal RNA (bases 1-158)
Source: RNAcentral